AGAAGAUAAAACCUAAAGGUUAAGGUAUUUGAUUUGAGAUCUUAGUUUAUGGGUUCGAUUCCCAUAUCUUCUU
Molecule: transfer RNA, 73 nt
Filed under: Babesia rodhaini
Lineage: Eukaryota; Apicomplexa; Aconoidasida; Piroplasmida; Babesiidae
Description: tRNA-Ser
Rfam family: tRNA
About the family: Transfer RNA (tRNA) molecules are approximately 80 nucleotides in length.
Source: RNAcentral